Molecule: ribosomal RNA, 451 nt
Filed under: uncultured bacterium
Lineage: Bacteria
Description: bacterial SSU rRNA
Rfam family: Bacterial small subunit ribosomal RNA
Source: RNAcentral
GUGGGGAAUAUUGGACAAUGGGCGCAAGCCUGAUCCAGCCAUGCCGCGUGUGUGAAGAAGGCCUUUUGGUUGUAAAGCACUUUAAGCGAGGAGGAGGCUCCUUUAGUUAAUACCUAAAGAGAGUGGACGUUACUCGCAGAAUAAGCACCGGCUAACUCUGUGCCAGCAGCCGCGGUAAUACAGAGGGUGCGAGCGUUAAUCGGAUUUACUGGGCAUAAAGCGUGCGUAGGCGGCUUUUUAAGUCGGAUGUGAAAUCCCUGAGCUUAACUUAGGAAUUGCAUUCGAUACUGGAAAGCUAGAGUAUGGGAGAGGAUGGUAGAAUUCCAGGUGUAGCGGUGAAAUGCGUAGAGAUCUGGAGGAAUACCGAUGGCGAAGGCAGCCAUCUGGCCUAAUACUGACGCUGAGGUACGAAAGCGUGGGGAGCAAACAGGAUUAGAAACCCUUGUAGUCC